AACUAUAUAGUCUAAAUAGGAUUUUAAAUUGCAAAUUUAAAGGUAAUAAAAAUUUAUAGUUU
RNAcentral lists this transfer RNA (62 nucleotides) under Coleoptera sp. 3 AH-2016. Its description in RNAcentral is "tRNA-Cys". Lineage: Eukaryota; Metazoa; Arthropoda; Insecta; Coleoptera. The record is from RNAcentral.